UACAGAGGGUGCAAACGUUGCUCGGAAUCACUGGGCGUAAAGGGCGUGUAGGCGGGAAGGAAAGUCAGAUGUGAAAGCCCUGGGCUCAACCCAGGAACUGCAUUUGAAACUCCCUUUCUUGAGUGUCGGAGAGGAAAGCGGAAUUCCUGGUGUAGAGGUGAAAUUCGUAGAUAUCAGGAGGAACACCGGUGGCGAAGGCGGCUUUCUGGACGACAACUGACGCUGAGACGCGAAAGCGUGGGGAGCAAACAGG
RNAcentral lists this ribosomal RNA (253 nucleotides) under uncultured bacterium. Its description in RNAcentral is "partial 16S ribosomal RNA". It matches the Rfam family "Bacterial small subunit ribosomal RNA", at positions 524 to 776 of the family's 1533-position model. The record is from RNAcentral.